CCUACGGGAGGCAGCAGUGGGGAAUAUUGCGCAAUGGGGGAAACCCUGACGCAGCAACGCCGCGUGAGUGAGGAAGUAUCUCGGUAUGUAAAGCUCUAUCAGCCGGGAAGAAAGAGGACGGUCGCCGACUAAGAAGCCCCGGCUAACUACGUGCCAGCAGCCGCGGUACUACGUGGGGGGCGGCCGUUAUCCGGAUUUACUGGGUGUUAAGGGAGCGUAGACGGCGUCGCAAGUCUGAAGUUAAAGUCCGGGGCUCAACCGCGGAACCGCUUUGGAAACUGCGAGGCUUGAGUGCUGGAGAGGUAAGCGGAAUGCCUGGUGUAGCGGUGAAAUGCGUAGAUAUCAGGAGGAACACCGGUGGCGAAGGCGGCUUACUGGAGAGUGACUGACGUUGAGGCACGAAAGCGUGGGGAGCGAACAGGAUUAGAUACCCUAGUAGUC
RNAcentral lists this ribosomal RNA (441 nucleotides) under uncultured bacterium. RNAcentral's name for it is "partial 16S ribosomal RNA". It matches the Rfam family "Bacterial small subunit ribosomal RNA", at positions 338 to 795 of the family's 1533-position model. The record is from RNAcentral.